GUCCUAGGAGGGGAGGGGCGGAGGGAAUGAGGGCUGGGGUCCUGGGUGCCUGACUCGGCUCUGCGGUCCUGUGUGGGGAAUGCAGAGAAUGGUCUGAAGCAGGCAGGGACACCCUAGCUCUGACAGCGUGAGGGUGCGCUGCUAGGAGGCAGAGUGUCAGAAGGACCUCCUGCCUACACCCCGCAUCUCCUGGAGGGUUAGGCUUUAGAAAACAAAAGAAAAACAAAACUGUAGAAUAGUAGUAAAAUACACACAAUUUACCAUUUUAACCUUUUUUGUUGGUUUGUUUGUUUACUUUUGAGAGAGAGUACGAGAGGGGUGAGGGCAGAGAGAGGGAGACACAGAAUCCGAAGCAGGCUUCAGGCUCCAACCUGUCAGCACAGAGCCUGAUGCAGAGUUCGAACUCAGGAACCACCAGAUGAUGACCUGAGCCGAAGUCAGAUGCUUAACCGACUAAGCCACCCAGGUGCCCCAUUUCAACCAUUUUGAAGUGUGCAUUUGAGUGGUAUUGAGUGUGUCACCAUCCAUGGAGGGGUGGUUUUGAAAGGGCAUCCCUGGACUUAGUGAGAUCUCAGCCACGAGCAUGAGGCUGAGGUCAAGGCUGCAGCUGCUCCCUUCACGUGUGGGUGCUCACCAGUCUGUAGCGGAGCAAGGAGUCUGGAGCUCUUAUGCUUGACUCUCCAACCUCGUUAUUGGAGGCGCCCACUGCCUCUGGUGCACCCCAGGCCCCUGAGCCUCGUGGCUUUCAAGGGUUCACCAAGCUCCCGCGUGCAGGAGUGCAGCGGACACACCAUCCUGUGUUCCAGGUGGGUGGAGAGGAGGAGGUGAUAUUGAUGGAGGCCACGCACGACACUCCCAGAGCUCCACAGCUCAUCCCAGGCCUUUUUCUGAGGCUGCCGGAACCUUCUUUGGAGCUCUGAAGGUCCAGCGUGCGUGGGACUCCAGACGAGUCAGCUACUGGCUGGGCCCAGCCUCUCUCCCUACAGAAGAGGGCACGGAAGAGUUUAGAAAAUAAGAAGCAAGCUCUGCAUGUCCACCUGGGUCAGGAAAUGGAACGGUGUCUCAGCUCCUGGGAAACCCCGUCUUCCCUUCGCGGCGCCUCUGUCUUCCCAGAGGUCACAGCCUCCCGACAUGUGGCAGUCUUUGACACAUUCGUUAUUUCAUUGGUCUCUGAAGACCAGGAGUCAAGACACAGCUCAACCAAGUUCUCCCUCACAGGCUGCAAUCGAGGGGUCUCCUCUGGGGCUGUUCUGGAGAAGGGUCCCCACUCACAUGGUUGCUGGCAGCAUUUAGCUACCUUCUGGGCGUCAACAAGAGGUCCACUCCAUGGGGCAGCCACAGCAUGGCAGCUUGCUGCUUCAAGCCAGCAAGGGAGACCGUCUCCAAGCAAGAGAGGCGUUAUUAAUCAUGGAAGCGACAUCCAGUCCCCUUUCAGAAUUUUGUGGGUUAAAAGCAAGCCGUAGCAUCCACUAGCAUUGCCACAGUUCAAAAAAGAAAAAAAGGGGAAAAGGAAGAAAGAAAAUAUAAUUGCUGGUGAAGAUGUGGAGAAACUGGAACCCUAAAUACUGCUGGUGGAACAGAAUAGGUCAGCUACUGUGGAGAAGAGUCCGGCAAUGAAUUCCUCAACGCAUUAGAAUUCUGUAACCCAACAACUACAUUCCUAGAUACAUACCUGAGAGAACUGAAAGCAAGAACUCCGAUACUUGUGCACACACGUUUAUAGCUGCAUUUUUCACAAUAGCCAGAGGGUGAAAACAACCAAAUAUCCAUCAGCAGCUGGAUGGAUAGACAGAAGACAAAAUAUAGAAAACAGUAUGGAGGUUCCUCCAAAAAUUAAAUACCAUAUGAUCCAGUAAUUCCACUAGUGUGUGUUUAUCCAGGGGAAGUGAAAACACUGAUUUGAAGAGCUCUCUGCACUCCAGUGUUUUUUGCAGCAUUAUAUACGAACAAAAUGUGGUCUCUUCAUGCAAUGAAAUAUUAUUCAGCCAUAAAGAUGACUGAAAUUCUGAUGCAUACUAUAGCAUGGAUGAACCUUGAGAACAUUAUGUUAAGUGAAAAUGAAGCCAGAGACAAAAGAUCACAUAUAUGAACUAUCUAGCAUCAGUUCCGUACAGACAGUAGACAAAUGAUCUUCAGAGGUUCUGGGGGAGGAAUGGGAGUGACCUGGGGCACAGGGCUUCUGGGGCGAUGAAAAGGUUUGUAACUAGAUAGUGGUGUUGGUUGCAUAGUAUGAAUGUGCUAAAUGCCACCGAAUUGUAUGCCCUGAAGUGGUUUAAAGGUUAACUUUGUUUUAUUUAUUGUUUAUAUUAAAAACAGCAAAACCCACAUUCAGAAGGAGGUGGAGAGACUACAGAAGGGUAUGAACACCAGGAGGUGGGGAUCCUGAGGUACUUUUCUCACUGACACUUUUUGAGUCUGUGCUUUUUGUCUUUGUCCAUGUGUCCAGUCUUUAUCCUUUGCCGGGAUCAAUGAAGUCACUUAUGGUCAAUAUAGUUAACAUAUUUGGUCUUGUUGACACCAUCUUAUUUUGAGCUUUCCCCUUGCCAUGCCCGUUCUAUUUCCAUUUUUGCCCCUUUUUGAGGGGAUUGUUUUAGAAUAGUUUUUAAUUAUUUUAUUAAUUUUUAAACAAAUGUUUACUUACGUAUUUUUGAAAGAGAGAGAACAAAAGCAGGGGAGGGGCAGAGACACAGAAUCCGAAGCAGGCCCCAGCGCAGACCCCGACACGGGGUUAGAACUCAAGGACUGUGAGAUUGUGACCUGAGCUGAAGUCAGACGCUUAACCAAUUGAGUCACCCAUGUGCUUCAGUGUUUUAUUUUUUUAUUUUUAAAAUUUAUUUUUAGAGUGUGUGUGUGUGUGUGUGUGUGUGAGCGAGAGAGGGGCAGAGAGAGAGGGAGAGAGAAAAUCCCAAGCAGGCUCUGUGCCGUCAGCAAAAAGCCCAACAUGGGACUUGAUUCCAUAAACUGAGAUCGUGACCUGAGCUAAAACCAAGAAUUGGACCUUAACUGAGCCAUCCAGGUGCCCCUGUUUUAGAGUAUUUUAACUUCCUACUUUUUUCUCUCCGUUACUUUGGAAGUCAGACAUUCCAUUUCUAUUUCAUGGUUGCUCCAGAAUUGACAACGUACGUGCUUCAUGUAUUGUGGUAUGCUAGCUGAAUAAUAGCCACCAAAGAUAUCCAGGUCCUAAUCCCUGGAACCUGUGAAUGUGGCUUUAUAUGGCAAAAGGCUUUGGAAGGUGUGAUUAAGAGUUUUGAGAUGGGGAGGGGCACCUGGGUGGCUCAAUCGGCUAAACGUCUGACUUUGGCUCAGGUCAUGAUCUCACGGUUCAUGGGUUUGAGCCGUAUGUUGGGCUCUUCUGACAACUGGGAGCCUGGAGCCUGCUUUGGAUUCUGUGUCUCCCUCUCUCUCUGCCCCUGCCCCAUCUCAUUUUCUCUCUCUUUCUCUCUCAGAAGUAAACAUGAAAAAAAUUUUUUUUUAAUUUUUGACAUGGAGAAAUUAUUUUGGAUUAUCCAGAUAGGCCUACUGUGAUCACAUGGGUCCUUAUUAGAGGCAGGCAAGGGGAUAUGUGACUACAGAAGAAAGCAAGAUACUACUAGCUUUACGGAUGGAGGAAGAGGCCCCAGAACCAAGGAAUGCACAUCUAGGAGCUGGAAAAGCAAGGAAAUGGAUUUCCCCCCAGAGCUUCCUGAAGGAGGAGCACAAUCCAUCUGACAUACUGAUUUCAGCAUAGUGAGACUGAGUUUGGACUUCUGCCCUCCCAAACUGUAAUACGAGAAUGGAUUUGUGUUGUUGUUUUAAUGUUUAUUUUUGAGAGGAAGAGAGCACAGGCAGGGGAGGAGGAGAAAGGGGCAGAGGCAGAAUCCCAAGCAGGCUGCUCCUGUCAGCACGGAGCUGGGUGAGAGCUCGAACUCAGGAACUGUGACAUCAUGGCCUGAGCUGAAAUCAAGAGUUGGACGCUUGGGGUACCUGGUUGGCUCAGUCGGUUAAGCGUCCAACUUUGGCUCAGGUCAUGAUCUCAUGGUUUGUGGGUUUGAGCCCCACAUCGGGCUCUGCACUGUCAGUGCGGAGCCUGCUUGGGAUUCUCUCUCCUCUCUCUGCCCCUUCCCCAUAUGCACUCUCUCUGUAUCUCAAAAUAAAUAAAAAGACUUAAAAAAAAAAAAGUUGGACACUUAACCGACUGAGUGACCCAGGCGCCCCAAAUUUGUGUUGUUUUAAGUCACUAAGUUUGUUAGCCAGCAAUAGGAAAGUAAUACAACUAGCAAAACCUAAAGUUAAUAAAAACAUGUUUCCUUCCCAGAUGACAUAAGGACUUAAGAGCAAUUAACUGCCAUUGAGUCAUGACUUAAUUCUGACUUAGUUAUUAAUAUCUGGUGUUUUAUGUCUGUAGGGUUUUUUUUUUUCCUUUCUAAUCUCAUAUGUGAUUUUGUAUACAAUCAGUGUUUGUGUUAGCACGUUGUUUGUUAUUCAUUCCUUCUUACAUCUCAGGCUUCUCCCCAGGCUCACUGUCCUUCUGCCUGUAGUGCAUCCUUUAGUAGAGUCAGGAUAGGGUGAGGCAGGAUCCGGAGAAUUUAAUUCAGAUCUAUUUUUAAGUUCACUAUUUCUCUCUGUGACUAUGUUUUAUCUGUUACACUUAGCCAUUGAAUAUUUAUUUAUUUAAUGUUUACAUUUAAAAAAUUUUAUUUUAGGGGCUCCUGGGUGGCUCAGUUGGUUAAGUGGCCAAGUUCGGCUCAUGUCAUGAUCUUGUGGUUCAUGAGUUUGAGCCCCCACAUCGGGCUCUCUACUGUAAGAAUAGAGCCCCAUUCAGGUCCUCUGUCUCCCAAUCUCUCUGCCCCUCCCCCCCUCUCUCAUGCACUCUCUCUCUCUCUCAAAAAUAAACUUUUCAAAAUAAUAAAAUUUUAUUUUAGAGAGAGAGAACAUGGACCGGGGGGUGGGGGGGGGGAGGGGAGAGAGAGAAUCCCAAGCAGGCUCCACACUCAGCAUGGAGGCUGAUGCAGGGCUCCAUUCCACAACCGUGGGAUCAUGACCUGAGCCAAAAUCAAGAGUCAGACUCUCAACCAACUGAGCCACCCAGGCACCCCGGGAUUUUGAGGUUUUUUAAAUGUUUUUUAAUGUUUACUUUUGAGAGAGAGAGAGUGUGAGCCAAGGAGGGACUGGGAUAGAGGGAGACACAGAAAUCUGAAGUAGGCUCCAGGCUCCGUGCUAUUAGCACAGAGCCCAAUCCGGGGCUUGAACCCACGAACCGUGAGAACAUGACCAGAGCCCAAGUUAGAUGCUUAACCAACGGAGCCACCCAGGUGCCCUGCCCUUUGUGGCCUAUAGUAAAGUGCCUUUAUCUAGGAAGGACUUACUUCCUACUGCCAGGUGCCUAUGAGGGAGUCCAGGAUCGUUUUAAAUGAGAUCCAUAGCCUGAGAUUUUGGGGGACCAUUCAGGUGAUAGAAACUUGGGCUGCAGAGCCAUGAGUGUCAACAUCAGAUUUCGAUUUAUCUGGAAAAGAUGUUCCCUUUUCUGCUUAUCACCAAGGUAUUUUUUUUUAGGCCCCCUUUUUGGGGAAAGGAGAGAAUUCUCCAGUAGGUGUAGCCUUUUGGGGCCCGAGCUUUAUGGGGAAGAGUCACCUAUGGAGCACAUCACCUUAUACUGCCCCCUUUUUUUACCUAUGAAGAAGAAAAUUCUAGCCCAAUGUUGCCAGUUUUGGCAAAUACCUCAGGACCCAAGUAGUUUAGGUGCUGUGAUAACCUCUCCCUCUCUGAGUCCUCGCCUUUACUUGGUUUCUGGCCAGAAGGUUCCUUAUCCUCUUCUUUGCUCUUUGAUGCUUUUAGGACUAUUUAAUCUGGAUGUCUGACUGGUUCAGUCAAUAGAGCAUAUGACACUUGAUCUCAGGGUUGUAAGUUGAAACCCCACAUUGGAUAUAGAGCUUUAUUUUUUAUUAUUUUUUAUUUUUUUAAUGUUUAUUUGUUAUUGAGAGACAGAGGCAGAGCAUGAGCAUGGGAGGGGCAGAGACAGGGGGAGACACAAUCUGAAGCAGGCUCCAGGCUCCGAGCUAUCAGCACAGAGCCCGACGUGGGGCUGGAACUCACGAACUGUGAGAUCAUGACCUGAGCCGAAGUCGGUGGCUCAACCAACUGAGACACCCAGGCGCCCCUGGGUAUAGAGCUUUAAAACAAAAACAAAAAC
Molecule: long non-coding RNA, 6169 nt
Organism: Acinonyx jubatus (cheetah)
Lineage: Eukaryota; Metazoa; Chordata; Mammalia; Carnivora; Felidae
Exons: 2
Source: RefSeq, a predicted model, not a curated record